This 292-nucleotide ribosomal RNA is filed under the name uncultured bacterium. Its description in RNAcentral is "partial 16S ribosomal RNA". The record is from RNAcentral. RNAcentral also lists the same sequence under 2 other names.
GGACUACCGGGGUAUCUAAUCCCGUUCGCUCCCCUGGCUUUCGCGCCUCAGCGUCAGAUGAGGUCCAGCAGGGCGCUUUCGCCACCGGCGUUCCUUCCGAUCUCAACGCAUUUCACCGCUCCACCGGAAGUUCCCCCUGCCCCUACCUCCCUCCAGACGAUCCGUUUCCAAGGCACUUUUCCGGUUAAGCCGAAAGCUUUCACCCCGGACAAGAUCGCCCGCCUACGCGCCCUUUAAGCCCAGUGAUUCCGAACAACGUUUGCACGGUUCGUCUUACCGCGGCUGCUGGCAC